UACGUCCACACCUUUUAGGUGUGGGCCAGUUGGCUGUCAUACUUCCAAGAAAAGCUCGAACUACUGUAAAGCAUCAAAUACCUGUACCGUAAACCGACACAGGUGGGUUGGUAGAGUAUACCAAGGGGCGCGAGAUAACUCUCUCUAAGGAACUCGGCAAAAUGACCCCGUAACUUCGGGAGAAGGGGUGCCAAGUAACUAAAGUUGCUUGGUCGCAGUGACCAGGCCCUGGCGACUGUUUAUCAAAAACACAGGUCUCCGCAAAGUCGUAAGACAACAUAUGGGGGCUGACGCCUGCCCAGUGCCGGAAGGUUAAAGAAGUUGGUUAUUCAUUCGUGGAGAAGCUGACGACUGAAGCCCCGGUGAACGGCGGCCGUAACUAUAACGGUCCUAAGGUAGCGAAAUUCCUUGUCGGGUAAGUUCCGACCCGCACGAAAGGCGUAACGAUCAGGGCACUGUCUCGGAGAGAGACUCGGUGAAAUAGACAUGUCUGCGAAGAUGCGGACUACCUGCACCUGGACAGAAAGACCCUAUGAAGCUUGACUGUAGCUUGGAAUUGGGUUCGGGCUCUUCUUGCGCAGCCUAGGUGGGAGGCGUUGAAAGCUUUCUUUUGGGAAAGCUGGAGCCAUCAGUGAGAGACCACUCUGGAGGAGCUAGAAUUCUAAUGGCGUUCCUUGAAGCAGGACGCUUGACAGUUUCAGGUGGGCAGUUUGACUGGGGCGGUCACCUCCUAAAAGGUAACGGAGGUGUGCAAAGGUUCCCUCAGGCUGGACGGAAAUCAGCCGUAGAGUGUAAAGGCAGAAGGGAGCUUGACUGCAAGACCUACAAGUCGAGCAGGGGCGAAAGCCGGCCUUAGUGAUCCGACGGUUCCAUGUGGAAGGGCCGUCGCUCAACGGAUAAAAGUUACUCUAGGAUAACAGGCUGAUCUUCCCCAAGAGUUCACAUCGACGGGAAGGUUUGGCACCUCGAUGUCGGCUCAUCGCAACCUGGGGCGGUAGUACGUCCCAAGGGUUGGGCUGUUCGCCCAUGAAAGCGGUACGUGAGCUGGGUUCAGAACGUCGUGAGACAGUUCGGUCCAUAUCCGGUGUAGGCGUUAGAGCAUUGAGAGGAGCCUUCCAUAGUACGAGAGGACCUGGAAGGACGCACCUCUGGUAUACCAGUUAUCAUGCCAAUGGUACACGCUGGGUAGCCAUGUGCGGAGUGGAUAACCGCUGAAAGCAUCUAAGUGGGAAGCCCACCUCAAGAUGAGUGCUCUCCAUCAGGUCACAGGAAGACAACCUGUUUGAUAGGCAGAAGGUGUAAGGCUAGUAAUAGUUUCAGCUGAUCUGUACUAAUAGACCGAUUAAUUUU
RNAcentral lists this ribosomal RNA (1350 nucleotides) under metagenome. RNAcentral describes it as "bacterial LSU rRNA". It matches the Rfam family "Bacterial large subunit ribosomal RNA", at positions 1567 to 2925 of the family's 2925-position model. The record is from RNAcentral.